ACUUUUUGUAUUUGAAAUGGCAACAAUUUAAAAUAUGUGAAAUACCAAAGGGCCGAGUACCUUUUGGAGGGCACUGUAAACAGUGCAUGAUAACACAAGUAAAAUAAAUGGUAUAAACCCAACUUUGCUGUUGUAAUUUAGGUAGUAUGAAAGAUGAAAAGUUGUCACUUUACUUACUUAUUCUUAAAGCAGAUAAC
This is a long non-coding RNA of Thalassophryne amazonica, 197 nucleotides long. RefSeq lists it as uncharacterized. The transcript is spliced from 3 exons. The record is from RefSeq and is a predicted model, not a curated record. Lineage: Eukaryota; Metazoa; Chordata; Actinopteri; Batrachoidiformes; Batrachoididae.